ACAAAAAUGAGGUCAACAUAAACCAUGGCCUGGUUUCAAUGGAGGGAGGCUAGAUAUCUGAUCCGUUCAUGGGAGGAGUUUAAGGAUUGCUUGUUGGAACUUUUCUGAGCCAUUUAGAAAGGAGACCUAUAUGAGCAAUUUUUUGCCUUGACUCUAUGGCUCAUCGUACUUACUUUUGGGUUGUCACAUUAUCCAACAAAGACUUAUAAAGACAUUAAUAGGUCGUAACAAGAUGCCACAAAUUAUGAGUAAAAAAGACUAAAACAAAGAUGGAUAAUAAGGAUCUCUUAGUGAUAUAGAUGAGAUCUUAGAAGAAAAUAAUUGCACAAGAUUUAUGGCUUAAACACUUACCAUAUGAUUGUGAUGCAUUAAGAGUGUAUAGUGUCAAGCAGGAGACCGUCAUGGAGUACAGGGAGAGAUUUGAGUUGCUAUCAAAGCAGUUAAGGGGAGUAUCAGAGGCGGUGCUGAAGAAAAUUUUCAUGAAGGGCCUCAAACCCAACGUAUGAGCGGACCUUUGAUUAAUGAGACUGAGUGGUUGAAGGAGACGAUAAACUUAGUCCAGAGAGUUGAGGAUCAAAAAUAGAUGGAGAGGGCUUGGUAAGAGUGGAGUAGUGGGAGGCUCUUACAGAAGUACCUCGACUGCACUGACACCAAGAACCUAGAUGAUGUCUUUUCAAUGGAACAUAGUUCACAUCCUUCCACCUUGAAGACAAGGUAAUUUUUUGUGUGGAAGUAUUAAUAUGCUAGGGGGGCUGACCGUCUGGGAUUCAUGGGAGUUAAUAUUUCAUAUGUAAAGAGGAUAAAAUGGGGGAGGAAUAAUUAAAAAAGUUUAUUUAGGGAAAGAUGGUUGAUUUGAAUUUAGAUUAGGGAAGGAAAUUAGGAAAUUUUUAUUUAAGAAAAGAGGACUGAUUUAAAUUCAGAUUUGGGAGGGAAUUAGGAAGAUUUUAUUCAGAGAAAGAGGGAUAAUUUGAAUUUAUAUUUGAGAGAAAAUUAGGAAUGUUUUAUUAAAGGAAAGAGGGCUGAUUUGAAUUCAUAUUUGGGAGGGAAAUGUGAUAGUUUAUUUAUGGUAAUUAGUUUAUUUUAUUUUCAUUAUGUUAUUGUGUUUGUUGUUGUUUUUCUUAGGAGUUGUUCCUAGCAGCGUCUAGGGUUUGUGGCAGAGCCAAAUAGUAGAUCACUUGUAUAUUUCUUUUUUAUUGAAGAGAUAAUAGAAAAUCAGCCAUUGUCUUCGUGUUCUAGCAAUUUUCUUCCUGACUAUUUGUUGUUUUUAUUUCCAGGACGCAUUAGAGAAAUCAUAUAUUUGAAGAGAAUGAUCCUAGGCAUGAGGAGAGAGAAGUUCAGAUGAAGCUACUGGAAGAAAAAGUUUAGUUUAGGAAAGGCUGGCUAAGUAUAGAAAGCGAAAAAAGGGUUUAAUCUUCUUUAUGGUAGAUGAUUUGUGCAUGAGCUACAAGCCUAGAGCCGAGCAAUGAGAUCUCUAGAGAACCAAGUGGUGAGCACUUGAAGGGAAAACAGCUUCAAUGUUUCCCGUCUACUUUAUGUGGGGGAUUGUUGACCCAUCUUUGGUAGUCUUUUCCUAUGUGAAUGAUGUGAGCUUUCCUUAGUGUCAUUACUUAAGGCAUGAAUGAAAGGAUAAUAUGUUGAUGUAAAAUAGAUUAUUUUCAUUCUUCUUGAUUUCCUUAUAUUAACAUUAAUAAUUAUUAAUUCUUGUAUAUGUGUGAAUGUAAUGAUAAUGCUAAUGUGAUAUGCCAUAAAAGUGAAAGUAUGAGUAUUGUGUAGACCUUCGAGGGAUAAUGUUGACGCUACAUAAUCUUGGACAUUGAUUACUUGUCGAUCAUGUGUGAUCCUUAACCCUAAUAUUUAUUUUCGAUGCUCUGUGAUCCGUAACAUUAUUGCUUGUUGGUAUUGUUUGAUACCAUAUAUAUUGCCAGUGAUGUUGUGUGAUCUUUGUUGGGUGGUGAUGAAGUAAAAGAAAUAUAUUUAUAUACUCAGUUAAAUGAUGACCAACUUGUAUGUGUACUUGUGUAGGAGUCUCUUACUAAUUGUGUAUGUAAUUGACCCGGUAGCCUGUUGAUGGUUCAAGUCGUUCGAUUGAUUGCUAGGAGCCUACCUUUAUUUAUUUUGUUAGCUUUUACUCAUGAAUCUAUUAAUAUUGCAUCAAGCAUUCUCCAAUGAGUUUUCUCAUUCUUUGUUUUUAUUUUACAUCCCAAGUAAUUUUACUAUCUUUUCAAACUUUAAGGGAAAUUUUUAUAAGUUGGUGAUGAGACCUAUAAUGCAUUAUGGAGCAGAAUGUUUGCUAUUGAAAGAGAAGUAUAAAAUCAAGUUAAGUGUUGCAGAGGUGAGGAUGCUCAAGUGGAUGAGUGGCUUUAUAGUUAGAGACAAAAUACGAAAUGAGUAUGUACGUGGAAAGGUUGGAGUAGCUCCAGUGGCAGAUAAGAAUAGAGAUAGUCACCUUAGAUGAUUUGGUCAUAUAAAGUGUCAGCCUUUUGGUGAGCUGAUUAGGAGAGUAGAUGUUUCAGAUCCGGACUAUGUUAAGAAAAGUAAAGGUAGAGCUAAAAAGAUUUGGUUAGAUAGAAAUAUCAUUUGUUUAUUAGAUUGAAAUGACAAUUUACUCUUAAUAUGACACAAUGGAGAAAAAUGAUUCUUGUAGCUGACUCCACGUAGUGAGAUAAAUGUUUAAUGUUGUUGUUGUAUUCCAAGUGAUGGGUCUUGGUGGGGUGGGCGGAGACAAGUUUAAAGCCAAUCAGGUUUAGUUUGCUAGUCCGUAGUAGUUCAUUUCUUAUUUUUAGCUGCUAUCUAGUGGAUUGUGCUUUAUAAUAAUGAGCACUUUUAAAUGAAUUUGGGUUUACAACUUUUUAUGUGACUAUUCAACCUUAUUUAUAAUUUAUAAAUCAUUUUUUCUUCAUUUCCUAGCUAUUUUUUACUAAAUUCUCUUAUUUUUCUUUUUAAGUUGAAUGGGCUUUUUUACUUCAUUUUUGUCAACUAGGUUUCAUGUGUUGCUUGAGACUAUUCAUCUCAAUGGCCUUCUUGCUUCAGUUCUCGGUCUUAUAGUAGGUCAUGUUGACGUCAGCUUAACUAUGUGUUUUGUACACUAGUGCUGGAAAGAGAAUUUUACUUGGCUACCUAAUCAUGUUAACUUGGUUGAAUUUAUGCUAAUUGAGUUGGCCGAACAAGUUGUGGUUGACUCAAAGCAAUUCAGUUUGGCUUUGUUGAUGAGAUUUGGCUUGUGACAACUUUCGGUGUAAGAGCUGAUGCUUUAGGUUCUUAGGAGUGCGGGUAUGAUAGUCAAGAUGUGAUGCAUAUACAUAUUAAUUAUUAAUUACUAUGAGACUAGGUGCAAACAUUUGAUGUGUCCUCGCAGAUGGCAUACAAGGGACAAGAAGCUGGUAAUGAUGGAAAAAAUCUGUCGAGCAGAGAGAAGUUGAAGCAACUACUUAGGAUAACUAGAAUAAUGAGAGGAGAUUACCGUGUAUUGAUGCAUGUAAUGGCUACACUUUUUCUGACAUCCAUGGUGUAACCCAUCAACAUUACUCUAUAGCUGUUAAUGCAAGUUUUGGUUGCACUAAUGCAAAUUGUGGGAGGAGUGUUGACUUCUACCAAUCGAAGAAUAUAAGAAGACCCAGUGGUUAAAGCUUACUCAAUUUGUUGAAGUGGCGAAUCUGGAGACAGGUUUAAUUUGCACAAAUUGAGAAAACAUUUCAAUGCAAUUUUAUGUUCAACUGAGAGAAAGACAAUGUUUAGCAACAUUCGUUUUGGCAAAAAAAAA
Long non-coding RNA from Dendrobium catenatum, 3760 nucleotides. RefSeq lists it as uncharacterized. The transcript is spliced from 2 exons. NCBI's taxonomy places the organism in Eukaryota, Viridiplantae, Streptophyta, Magnoliopsida, Asparagales, Orchidaceae. The record is from RefSeq and is a predicted model, not a curated record.